RNAcentral lists this ribosomal RNA (939 nucleotides) under uncultured bacterium. RNAcentral's name for it is "bacterial SSU rRNA". It matches the Rfam family "Bacterial small subunit ribosomal RNA", at positions 522 to 1472 of the family's 1533-position model. The record is from RNAcentral.
AAUACGAAGGGACCUAGCGUAGUUCGGAAUUACUGGGCUUAAAGAGUUCGUAGGUUGUUGAAAAAGUUGGUGGUGAAAUCCCAGAGCUUAACUCUGGAACUGCCAUCAAAACUUUUCAGCUAGAGUUUGAUAGAGGAAAGCAGAAUUUCUAGUGUAGAGGUGAAAUUCGUAGAUAUUAGAAAGAAUACCAAUUGCGAAGGCAGCUUUCUGGAUCAUUACUGACACUGAGGAACGAAAGCAUGGGUAGCGAASAGGAUUAGAUACCCUCGUAGUCCAUGCCGUAAACGAUGUGUGUUAGACGUUGGAAAUUUAUUUUCAGUGUCGCAGCGAAAGCGAUAAACACACCGCCUGGGGAGUACGACCGCAAGGUUAAAACUCAAAUGAAUUGACGGGGACCCGCACAAGUAGUGGAGCAUGUGGUUUAAUUCGAAGAUACGCGCAGAACCUUACCAACACUUGACAUGUUCGUCGCGACUUUAAGAGAUUAAAGUUUUCGGUUCGGCCGGACGAAACACAGGUGCUGCAUGGCUGUCGUCAGCUCGUGUCGUGAGAUGUUGGGUUAAGUCCCGCAACGAGCGCAACCCACACUUUUAGUUGCCAUCAUUUAGUUGGGCACUCUGAAAGAACUGCCAGUGAUAAGCUGGAGGAAGGUGGGGAUGACGUCAAGUCCUCAUGGCCCUUACGUGUUGGGCUACACACGUGCUACAAUGGUAUUUACAACAGGAAGCAAAACGGCGACGUUAAGCAAAUCCUUAAAAAAUACCUCAGUUCGGAUUGCACUCUGCAACUCGAGUGCAUGAAGCUGGAAUUACUAGUAAUCGUGGAUCAGCGUGCCACGGUGAAUGCGUUCCCGGGUCUUGUACACACCGCCCGUCACACCAUGGGAGUUGGUUCUACCUUAAGGCAAGGUUUUAAACCCUUGACCACGGUAUAGUCAGC